CGCUAAACUUGUACAACAAUCGUAUCAAAUUCUAUAAUAUUGAUAACGAUGCGUGAACAAACAGAAUGUCACAAAUAGGAGUACAAACGACAACACGAACUCAACCAAAAACUGCCGGGGAUUUCAGAUGCUGCACCUGUUAUGUUGCUCAUGUUAAAACAAAUCCGCUAAAUAGUCUAAUUCGGUGGGUCAUAUUCGUGAAAAGGGAACGGGAUUGUAGUUACGAUAUAAGGAUUAUCCGAUAUCAUCUGUAAAACAGAUAUUUAAUAACGUCAACCAACUCGUGAUGUCGUCCUUAAAAUUUGAGAAGAAAUGC
This 316-nucleotide long non-coding RNA is filed under the name Mytilus galloprovincialis (Mediterranean mussel). Lineage: Eukaryota; Metazoa; Mollusca; Bivalvia; Mytilida; Mytilidae. The record is from RNAcentral.